CUUUGGAAAGGUGUGUGUGGUGAUGUGUUGAGUCUGUGGGGUUACAAAGAAACAAGAGUCUACAGAUACAAAGAUAUUCCGUAUCAGGAGUCUAUAUUAUGAACAUUAUGUACGGAUGCAUGGCCCAGGGACACAGCACUUCUGCCUUGCCACCCCUCCCAGCCUCACCUUCUGUGAGUGCCUCUGUCAGCACCAAAGUGGUGCUUGCUCCACGCCUGCCCGUCUUGCCCAGAGCCCAGUGCUGGACAUGGACACGGGCAGACAGAAUUCACCAGGGAAUGAAUGGCAUGUCUGCAGGUGCACUCAGGUACAGCGCAUAAAUUCAGAUUUGGAGAGCUUAUGUUCCAUCAUAAAUUGGGCUGGCAGACUUCCGAUGAACAAGAUAAAGCUGUCUCCUGUGAGGCAUGGGAGCAAGGGGGAGCCAUCCUGGGGCCUCUGAGACACCCCAGCACUGCCAGCAUGGACCUCAGAACAGAGCACCAUGCUUGUCCUUGUGCUCCAACCUCUGACAGCCUGGGCAGCGCCAGUCUGGGCCCGAGGAGAGUCUCCUGGGCUUAUGAGCUUGCUCUCCCUGCUCAAGAAGCCUGUGGCCAUGGGUGCCGGUAGGCCACGGCGAGGGGCCUCACUGGGACGGCCCUGUGUGCAGCCUCAAAUGCUGACACUUGGGUUUGUCAGUGACCCAACUGCUGGCAGGGAGCUCCCUGUGCAGCCUGUGCCUGGGGGCAGCCACUUCUGGCCACCCUCUUCCCCCCAGCCCCUCGACUCCUGCCAGCUUCCCUCAAGGCUUUCUGCAUCCAGGGUCUCCACCCAGAUGUCCCCUCUUCUUCAACUUCCACCUGAGAGCCCACCUGAGCCCCAGGGGUCUUGAAUGAUGCCCUGUGGCUCAGAGGACGGCACAGCCUUGUGUUGCUGUUGUGACUGUGGUGGGUUCUGAGUGCUCGCAGGUCUGCCCAGGCCAAGACCAGUAAACAUGCAAAGUCAAUGUGUGGCCAGCACGGUUGGGAUGGACUCUCCAGGGCCUAGACCCCACAAUGAGAAACAUGGGUCACCAGUGCUUUCGUGCAGGAUCUGUGUUGAGCAUAAGGUGACGUGGACAGCAGGCCUGGUCACAGGACAAGGACAGCAUAGGCACACACGAGCAGGGCCAUCUGCUGAACAUGGGAUGGACACACCUGAGCACGUGGGUGUUCCUCCAUCUCAGGUCUGGACCUGCUCUUCCCUCACACUUGGCCCCAGAUGGCACAUCCCAGGGACAUGGGGUGGAAUAGGACUGGUGCCCAAGGCUGUGUGCUGGGCACCAGCUCUGCUCCUCAGCUCUGGUUGUCACCCUGACCUGGCAUCUGAAACAGGGACAAUCGUGGUGCUGCAGGGGCUUGUGCCACAGGGAUGAGGACCGCACAGGCCUCUAUGCCCAUGUCCACCCAGCAGGGCAGCAGCCACCUCCAGGGCUCCUCCCGUGCCCCACUCACAGCUGAGGCCAGGUCCAGGCUGCAGGCUGGCAGUGUCUGCAGGGAGGAGGGGUGGAGCCUCGUGCCCAUAGACUGUCUUGCUCCCUGGGCCCGUGGAGGGCACAUGCCCCCUUUCGCUUGUUCCUAUCCUGUGGUUCCCAUCCCCCAGCUCCUGCACGCUGAGCCCACGUGUGGGGGAAGCAUGUAAGGUGUUGUGUAAGUUAGCACACACACUGCGUGUUUCUGGUGAUGUCAGCAUCUGUGCACGCCUGUCCUGUGCAUCCAGCUCUUGGAGCUGCUGUCAUGCACACGGGGGUGUCUAGGUGUGAGUACACAGGUGGGUUGCUGUGUCCUCUGAGAAUGCAUGUGUCUGUUGGUGGCUGUGGGUGCUGUGUGGGCGCGUGUGUGUGCUUCCUCACAGCUCAGUGUCAGCUACGGCACACCUGUGGGGCCAGUGUGACCCCUGCAUGUCAUCAUGUGUCUGGGCGCAUCUAGGCCUGUCUCCAGCCCCUUGGGUCACCCUGGAUGAGCACAGGUGAGGGCCAGCCAGGUCCACCUCAGCACCUGUGGUCCUAGGGACUCUCGUCCUCCACCCUCCCCUCUGGAUCUCUCUUCCCCGGUUUGUACCACAUCUGGUGCUCAAUAAAUGAUUGACUGGUGAAGGAAUGGAUGAAAAUGGGGCUCUAGGGGUGCAGUCUGGAUAGAGGCAUGGGCAGGCACUGCAGAGUGGAAAGGAGGGCUCUGGCAGGCGCACCAGUUGUGGAUGGGGUCAGCAGCGCCAGAGGGGUCGGUCAAGCCCGGCUGAGCCUGGGUUGGGGGCAGCAGGGUCUGCAGGCCGCCCCCGCGCUCCCUGGGGACGUCUCGGGUCACCGUCUGCACCUCCGGCCCGAGCAGCCCCGCGGGUUAUUUAUGACCCCCCUCCCCCUCCCUGGCGGCAGCAGCGGCUCCGGCCUCGGCCCAGCGGCGGAGGGCCCUGAGCAGGGGGACCUCGAGCAGCGACAGCACCGCCCAGGCCCGUUGAGCGGGGGCGGGGCUUCCGCAGGCUGGAGGAAGGGCUGUGGCCGCAGACCCCACCUGCUCUCCCUGCGGUGCGCCAGGCAGGAGGUGGGGGGGGGGGAAUUCCAGCGCCACAAUUCUGUCACUCUAGCCUCUGGCUGCAGACUGAGAAGUGCAGAGGAACCUGUGGGCCCAGGUACCAGAACAGGACACAGGUGGACAGGUGGGAAGAAGUGAGCAGAUCCUCCUGGGUAUGAUGUCCGGGAGUGCGAGUGCCUCGUCCCAGUGGGAAAGUGGCUCUGACCACAAAGAGCAGAGGGGGACACAGGUGGGGUGAAUUGCCCUGAUCAGCCAAGGCCCUGGACAGCCCCUAGAGGGGGUCGGUCUCUGAGCAGUCAGGGAGUGGCCUUUUGGGAGGGGCUCCGGCUGGGAGCUUUGGACUCAGUCCCUUCUUUUCUUGAAGGGACCCUGGCUCUCUAGAGAGGGGUGGAGCCAGAUGGUGUCCUGAGUGAGCUAGGUUAGCCCCACACCUUGCCAGCUGAACUCCUCCUCUGAAAGCCACAGUUGGGCCCCCCAUGGUCCUCCCUAACCACAGUGAUGAGUGAGAGGUCCUGCAGAAGGUGAGGUAGGCUCCCCUCUACAGGCUCAGGUUGGAGGACACCUGGCCUGGCAGCCGAGUGGUACCGGCUCAGAUCUCCGUGUGCUUCACCAGCCUUCUGUCCCCAAACCAGUGUGAAGCUCGGGUGAGGAGGCCCGAGGCUCAGAAGGGAAGGUGCAGCAAGCAUGAGAAAAGCUGGGUGCGGCCGACGGUCUUUUGGCAGCAGUGUCGGGGCUGUGGCCAGACAGUGGGUGCAUGGGCCUCCUACUUGGCCCCCAGCAGAACCCCGAGUGCCUCUGCAUGGACACGACGGCUUCUCUGUGUGCCUUGGCUCUAGGACAGGGACAGCCUCCUGCAGCCAUUCGACACGCAGGCAGCACAGCAAGACACAGGCCACAGGGGUGGCCGUGGGGGGAGCUCCCAAACUGUUACACCUGGGGUCAGGCACAUGCAGGGGUUCAGGCUUCAUGUGGGGAAAUGGGCCGUGGCUGACGAAGCAAGGAGGGGGCGCUCACAUUUAUACCCACACUCCCAUCUGGCCCUUAAGCCCAGGCAGACAAUGUACAAGGAAUGCAGGAAGCAGAAGGGGGGUGCAGAGGUUGGGGUGCACUGGUUCCCACACACAUUCCUGCUCUGAGCCCAGAGCUCACUCCCCAGGCUGGUCUUGGGGUCAGCUGGUGUCUCAGUUGAGGAUGAUGUGAGAAGCGUGUGUCAGUGAGGGGAAGCAGAAUGGUCGCCCAGCUGGUGGCAGGCGUCUGGCAGGAGGUGGGUGCUAGUGGUGUGUCCCCACUCCCAGCCCCUCCCUUGCACAAGGUGCUUGUGCCAGCACUCCUGUGAUGCAGCCUCAGAACCUGGUCAGGAGAUGCCCACACAGGAGCCCUGCCAAGGUACAGCUCAGAGGGGCAGGGGUUAG
Molecule: long non-coding RNA, 3955 nt
Organism: Rhinolophus ferrumequinum (greater horseshoe bat)
Lineage: Eukaryota; Metazoa; Chordata; Mammalia; Chiroptera; Rhinolophidae
Exons: 4
Source: RefSeq, a predicted model, not a curated record